UUUAUCACUCCCUAAAGGGCCAGGGAUAAGUGAAUAAUUAGACAAUUUAAAGGGCAAAGCGUGGUAAAUUUGUCCUACUACUGUAGCAAGUUUCACUCCAAUAGUUUUAAAAAUAAGGGAUAUAGCAGCCCCUGAAGUUUCCCCAAUAGUAACGGAGGAGCGAUAUGCUUGCUUUAAAACUACAUGUCCCAGAUGCCCCAGUUCCUCUUCCCUCUUAACAUUCCCCACCCCCCUUUUGUCCUCACUCUUUCCUUAUUAAUAACAUGGACCAUCUUGACCAGACUUGGACAUCUGUGAAUUCUUGGAAGGUUGGCAGAAGCUGGAGCUAACAGCGGGCGCUCACUCCGCUCCCGGGAUUGGAACCUGGGACCUUUCGGUCUGCAAGUUCAGCAGCUCAGUGCUUUAACACACUUCGCCACCGGGGCUCCGGUGUUAAAACACAAGUUACAAUCCACGGAUAAAAUGCAGGUCAAAAUUCACAACUUACAACUAACUGACUGGGUAAGUUUUCUGCAAGAGAUGUUGCGCCUUAAAUUCUGACGGAUUUAGCUGUCAAAUCUUUUGAAUCAGUUCAUUCUACAAUCUUGAAGCAACUGAUGAAAAGGUCUGGGAUGCUGUGAAUCUUUUGGGCUAUAUGGCCAUGUUCCACUUGCUUUACUGCCAACAGAAUCUCUGAAGAUGCCGGACACAGGUGCAGGUGAAACAUCAGUGGAGAAUGCUACUGAAACAUGACCAUACAGGCUGAAAAACUCACAGCAACCCAGUGAUUCCAGCCAUGAAAGCCUUUGACAAUAUGAUGAAAAGGUCCUCUGGUUA
RNAcentral lists this long non-coding RNA (816 nucleotides) under Anolis carolinensis (green anole). RNAcentral's name for it is "lncRNA (ENSACAG00000042569.1)". The record is from RNAcentral. Lineage: Eukaryota; Metazoa; Chordata; Lepidosauria; Squamata; Anolidae.